Non-coding RNA from Nylanderia fulva, 218 nucleotides. The record is from RefSeq and is a predicted model, not a curated record. NCBI's taxonomy places the organism in Eukaryota, Metazoa, Arthropoda, Insecta, Hymenoptera, Formicidae.
UGAUAAUAAUUCAGUUCUGCUUUUAUAUUAGAUAUUAAUACAUUGAUAAAUGCUAUCGAUAAAAAUGAAAAUAUUGGUGAGAUGCAUAUCAAAGGCUGUAAUUUCCUGGAAAAUUCUGGAAUUUUAAUGACUAUAGCAUCUCCUUAUGGCAAAACCAAAAGGCAGCGUUGGACAGAAAAAGAAAAAGAAACAGUACUUCAAGCAUUUUCCACACAUAU